Molecule: ribosomal RNA, 403 nt
Filed under: bacterium
Lineage: Bacteria
Also listed under: 1 other name
Description: partial 16S ribosomal RNA
Rfam family: Bacterial small subunit ribosomal RNA
Source: RNAcentral
UGGGGAAUAUUGCACAAUGGAGGGAACUCUGAUGCAGCGACGCCGCGUGAACGAAGAAGGCUUUCGAGUCGUAAAGUUCUUUUAUAUGGGAAGAUAAUGACGGUACCAUAAGAAAAAGCCCCGGCUAACUACGUGCCAGCAGCCGCGGUAAUACGUAGGGGGCCAGCGUUGUCCGGAAUCACUGGGCGUAAAGGGUUCGCAGGCGGAAAUGCAAGUCAGGUGUAAAAGGCAGUAGCUUAACUACUGUAAGCAUUUGAAACUGCAUAUCUUGAGAAGAGUAGAGGUAAGUGGAAUUUUUAGUGUAGCGGUGAAAUGCGUAGAUAUUAAAAAGAAUACCGGUGGCGAAGGCGACUUACUGGGCUCAUUCUGACGCUGAGGAACGAAAGCGUGGGUAGCAAACAGG